UACGUAGGGGGCUAGCGUUGUCCGGAAUCAUUGGGCGUAAAGCGCGUGUAGGCGGUCCGGUAAGUCCGCUGUGAAAGUCGGGGGCUCAACCCUCGAAUGCCGGUGGAUACUGUCGGGCUAGAGUGCGGAAGAGGCGAGUGGAAUUCCUGGUGUAGCGGUGAAAUGCGUAGAUAUCAGGAGGAACACCUGCGGUGUAGACGGCUUACUGGACGGUAACUGACGCUGAGGCACGAAAGCGUGGGUAGCAAACAGG
RNAcentral lists this ribosomal RNA (253 nucleotides) under uncultured bacterium. RNAcentral describes it as "partial 16S ribosomal RNA". It matches the Rfam family "Bacterial small subunit ribosomal RNA", at positions 524 to 776 of the family's 1533-position model. The record is from RNAcentral.